GUGGACAGUUCUACUAGGGCGAAGGGACUCUACCGCUUCAUUCCCAGGCCAGACAAGCGACCUCCCACCUCCGACGUCUAGCCUCCGACAGCUUUUGUCUGCGUAUAACAAGAAGAACCUCAACCCAACCGACAUGGUUGCACUCUCAGGUGCCCUCCUAUCCUAGCUAGCAGUAGCAGCUAGCUUAGCUACUGAUCGACGAUGACGAUGAUAUAUAUAAUACCUUUCCAUAUAUACAUGCAGGAGCUCACACGAUCGGACAGGCGCAGUGCUCGAGCUUCAACGACCACAUCUACAACGACACCAACAUCAACUCCGCCUUCGCGGCGUCGCUCAGGGCCAACUGCCCCAGGGCAGGCAGCACCGCCCUUGCGCCGCUGGACACCACGACGCCCAACGCGUUCGACAACGCCUACUACACCAACCUGCUGUCCCAGAAGGGGCUCCUGCACUCGGACCAGGAGCUCUUCAACAGCGGCAGCACCGACAGCACGGUCAGGAGCUUCGCGUCCAGCACGUCGGCCUUCAACAGCGCCUUCGCCACGGCCAUGGUCAAGAUGGGCAACCUCAGCCCCCAGACCGGAACCCAGGGGCAGAUCAGGCGCAGCUGCUGGAAGGUCAACUCGUAAGCUACUAGCUACUACGCCCAAUAUGCAAUGCGUUAUGGCAGGCAGAUCAGAGCCAAUAGGCCUCUCAGCUCGUUCUCUAGCUGUGUACCUGUACGUGUGUGUGACUGGUGUUGGUCGAGUAAGUGUACGUACUACAUGGAUGGUGCAGAGAGAGAGAUAUAUAUCGAUCUGGUGGUGGCCACCUUAUUAUCGCAUGCAUAUGUGUACUGUAUUAGCACGACACUAUUAGACACAUUUAUUGAUGGUACCAUGCUAUGCUUGUAAACGUACCCAGCCAUUGACCUAGAUAUGACACUAUAGUGUCUAAUCGUAUUGUGUGCUAACACCAUAUGCCCAUGUCACACUAUUUCACUUUAAGAGCUCAAAAGGUAUAAAACAUAUCUUUAAUGUUGGGGGUAUGCUUUGUAGCCGAAGAUCCUAAAGAAAGAAACAUCUUCGGCAGAUCCUCUCCAAAGCAGUGCCGAAGCUAUCGUCUAUAAAGCUUCGGCACAGUGACAUGUCUCAAGACGAAGGGGUGAACCGACUUAAAGAUGAAAUGACUUAAAGAUCCAUGAUAUUAUGUGUCAUUAUUGUAGUAGCUUGUAAAGGGCAUAAAUGUAAUUAUACAUAGGUUGCCCCCUGUGCCUAUAAAUAGGUGAACAGUACCCCUGUACUGUUCACGAAAUCCUGUAAUCACUGACACGUCGCGCUUGGAUUAUUGCUUUCCGCCAAGGCGAAGGUAUAAAUGUGCCUAAAUAUUAUGUUAUAAUGUUUGUAUAUUCAUAUAAUAAAAUAUGUGAGUAAGGUUACUUAUUCUUAGUAUAUCUCUCUAUAAUGUUUCAUUUUUAUAUUUUAUUUCAUAUUGUUUUACAAGUCUGACCACGAAGGUGUGACUUUCGUGGUAUUUUGCUCAUGGCCUUCAUCCGAAGUUCAUUAAAUCCUCGGGGAGAUAAUGCUUCAGCGGACGAAGGACAUUAAUAUUUAACAUUUUAUGUUGCCUUGUUCUUAAUUCAUAGCACUUGAGAACAAGUCCCCAACAUUGGCGCCCACCUCCGGUGAACUCACUUCCACUUUUUGAGCUGAUGGCUUCGUUCAAGAACGAAGCUGGAACUGCUUCGGCUCCGAAGCUGAUCCUCCCGAUAACAGGCGGUUCAUGCUCAGAGCCGGCUAACAAGAAACAGAAGAAGGAAGCACAGAGAAGAGUACAACAUGUAGGGGUGCAAGGACCCUUCAUCAAGUCAAGAUGGUCUCACAUCCCAAUUACCUUCUCUCGAGAGGAUCUUCAGCUCAAGGAUUACCCACACAGUGAUGCUAUGGUUAUCUCUUGUGUGAUCAAAGGAUUUCUGGUCCACAAUGUUUUGGUUGAUACAGGCAGUGCAACGGACAUUAUAUUUGUCAAAGUCUUCACACAAAUGCAAGAGCCCGAAGACAAGAUCCAUGAUGCCACACAUCCCCUUUGUGGCUUCGAAGGAAGGCAGAUUGUAGCACUCGGCAAGAUCACAAUGUCAGUAACCUUCGGAUUUAUCAACAACACAAGGACUGAACAAGUUGUGUUUGAUAUUGUUGACAUGGAAUACCCCUACAAUGCAAUCAUUGGUCGUGGUACUCUCAAUGCCUUUGAAGCAAUUCUUCAUCCAGCAUAUCUUUGCAUGAAGAUACCUUCGGACCAAGGGCCCAUUGCUAUUCAUGGAAGUUAGGAAGCUGCCAGAAGGGCCGAAGGAAACUGGACAGACUCAAAAGCAAUCCAUAACAUAGAUGGAGCUGAAGCUUGUGAGCAAUACAAGUACAGAAGAGAGAAAGCUGCUUCGGUCGAUCAGCCGAAGCCCAUGCUCUUAUGCGAUGGCAUAGCAGAGUAGAAGGUGCUAUUGGGAUCUCAACUAUCCGAAGAAAAGGAGAAAACCUUGAUAAGGUUUCUGUUUAACAACAAAGAUGUUUUUGCAUGGUCAGCUAAUGAUCUUUGCGGAGUCAAUAGGGAUGUUAUUGAACACUCGCUCAAUGUUGAUCCAUCCUUCAGACCCAGAAAGCAGAGGCUUCAAAAGAUGUCUGAUGACAAGGCCGAAGGUGCUCGGAAUGAAGUGAAAAGACUCCUCAGCGCUGGAGUCAUCAGAGAAGUAAAAUACCCAGAAUGGCUAGCCAACACUGUUAUGGUAAAAAAGGCCAAUGACAAAUGGAGGAUGUGUAUUGAUUUUACUGACCUCAACAAGGCCUGUCCGAAAGAUGAGUUUCCGUUGCCAAGGAUAGAUUCCCUAGUUGAUGCAUCAGCUUCAUCAGAACUUAUGAGUCUGUUGGAUUGUUAUUCAGGCUAUCAUAAAAUUUGGAUGAAGAAGGAGGAUGAGCCAAAAACCAGCUUCAUAACCCCUAGCGGAACAUAUUGUUACCUUCGGAUGCCUGAGGGGCUCAAGAAUGCUGGAGGAAGCUUCAACAGAAUGACAGCGAAGGUUCUUCACUCUCAGAUAGGCAGAAAUGUGCUAACUUAUGUCGAUAAUAUCAUUGUAAAGAGCACGAAGCAAGAAAAUCACAUUGCUGAUCUGCAGGAGACUUUCGCUAAUUUUAGACAGGCCGGUCUAAAGCUGAAUCCAGAAAAGUGUGUUUUCGGAGUAAAGAAGGGGAAAUUCCUUGGUUGCCUAGUUUCAACAAAAGGGAUUGAGGCUAAUCCAAAUAAAAUCGAAGCUAUUCUUCGAAUGGAACCACCAAGCACAAAGAAGGGGGCUCAGCGACUGACGGGAAGACUUGCAUCUCUGAACCGAUUCAUAUCUAGAUCAGCAGAGAGAAAUCUACCAUUUUUUGAAAUACUGAAGUCAGCCGAAGUUUUUCAAUGGGGACCAGUUCAACAGAAAGCCUUCGACGAGCUGAAGCAGUAUUUGAUAGACCUAACGACAUUAACUCCACCAACACCAGGGGCUCCUCUGUUGUUAUAUGUGGCAGCUUCGCACUCAGCGGUAAGUGCGGCACUUGUCCAAGAGAAGCUUGAAGGGCAAGUCAAAAAGCAAGCCCCAAUAUACUUCGUCUCCGAAGUCCUUAGUUUAUCAAAGAAAAAUUAUACAGAAUUGGAGAAGGUGUUGUAUGCUGUUUUGAUGGCUUCCAGGAAGCUUUGGCACUAUUUUCAAGCAUACAAUAUAAUUGUCCCUUCUUCACAACCAUUGAAGGAUAUUAUGAGAAAUAGAGAAGCUACUGGAAGGGUUGGAAAAUGGGCUGCGGAACUUAAUGAGUUUUGCAUUGAUUAUGUGCAUAGAUCUUCGAUUCAGUCCCAGGCGUUAGCAGACUUCAUUGCUGACUGGACGCCAGGGGCUCAGGAAGAAGAAGCGAGUAAAGAUGCCGAAGCUUGGACAGUAUUCUGCGAUGGUUCUUGGGGAACCUUCGGGGCAGGAGCAGCUGCUGUGUUAGUUGCACCCUCCAAAGUUAAAACUUGCUACGCAGCAAGACUUGAUUUUAGCUGCACAAAUAACAUUGCUGAAUACGAAGCUUUGCUUUUGGGUAUUCGGAAGUUAAAGGCAAUGGGAAUUAGAAGGGCAGUUCUUAAAACUGAUUCCCAGGUUAUUUCUGGUCAUAUUGACAAGAGUUGUAAAGCAAGAGACCCGAAGCUUGAGAAAUAUUUAGACACGGUCCGAAGGAUUGAAGCUUCCUUUGAAGGAUUUUCUGUCAAAAAUAUUCCUCGAGGAGAAAAUGAACGUGCUGAUUUGCUAGCCAAGUCAGCAGCACAGGGGCUGCCCUUACCUUCGGAAGUAUUUUUCGAAACAAUAAAAGCACCUUCGGUUGAACUUCUUGAGAGAGCAGUCCUCAAUAUAUCUCCUGUUUAUAGUGAAGACUGGAGAACUGAAAUCAUCUCUUUCCUUCAGGGUAAUUUUCUUUCAGAUGACGAAGCUUAUAACAAGAGAAUAGAGGCAAGAGCUCGACCAUAUGUUAUAAUAGAGGGGGGCUGUACAAGCAUGGAGUCUGUUCUCCACUACUCAAAUGUUUAUCCAGAGCCGAAGGUAUAGAAUUAAUGAAGGAAAUACACGCAGACCUGUGUGGAUCUCACAUUGGAUCUAGGCCUUUGCUGGGAAAAGUUGUUCGCCAAGGAUUUUAUUGGCCAAAGGCAGCUUCAGAUGCAGCGGAAUUAGUCCAAAAGUGCGAAGGCUGUUAGAAAUGUGCAAGAGAUCAAAAACAACCUUUGUCUUUAACCCAGUUAAUACAUCCCACUUGGCCAUUGCAAAGGUGGGGCCUUGAUUUGUUAGGUCCGCUACCAUCAGCACAAGGAAACUUAAGAUAUGUUGUGGUGGCAGUGGAAUAUUUUUCUAAAUGGAUCGAGGCAAAGCCUUUAGCCACAAUAACUUCGGUUACUAUUCAAAAGUUUUUCUGGCAAAAUAUUGUCUGUCGCUUCGGAGUGCCGAAGGCCAUCACUGUGGACAAUGGAACACAAUUUGAUUCUGAAGCUUUCAGAGAAUUUUGUGAACAAAUUGGCACAAAGAUCCAUUUUGCAUCAGUUCGACAUCCGGAGUCAAAUGGACUUGUUAAAAGGGCUAAUGGCAUCAUAAUGACAGAAAUAAUGAAGUUAAUCUUCAAUCAGCCCAGGGGAAAGUGGCCAGAUGAAUUAAUCAAAGUGGUGUGGAGCCACAACACAACAAUAUCAAGAUCAACAAGUUUUACACCAUUCAAAUUGCUAUUUGGUGAUGAAGCAAUAACCCCAGAAGAAGCUAAAGCGGGAUCAAUAAGAACAAUGGCUUCGGCAGAAGACGAAGCUGAUUAUUCUGUGGCAAAAGAUGCUAUAGAAGGAAUCAGGCUUCAAGCUGUAGAGAAUAUCAACAAAUAUCAAGCCGAAAAAAUAAAAUGGCGUGAUAGAAAGGUUCGGCUAAAAAAUAUUAAGCCAGAACACUUGGUACUUCGGAGAGUCGCCAACCCAGACACAGUAGGCAAGCUACAGCUGAAGUGGGAAGGACCUUUUCUGGUAGUAUCUUCGUCAAGACCCGGUUCUUACAGAUUGAAGGAUAUGGACGGCAACGACAUUCCUAGAUCAUGGAACGCGGAUGAGCUUCGGCGAUAUUAUGUCUAGUUUGAUGUAAUUUUUUAUAUUCUUUUUUAUGGCACCCUUUUCCUUUCCAAAGGGGGAGAAAGGUUUUUAAUGGGGCCAUAGCAUGUAAUUUUUCUUUUUAUUUCAGCUCUUGUCGGCGUUUCGAGACCGGGGGGUCCCUAGGCCGACGAGUGAAAUGUCGCCGCGUGCCCCAGCCCAGAUGGGUCGGCGCGAGGCCGAGCGCGAAGGGGGGAAAAGGCGGCCGGAGGCGGGCGUGAGAGAUGUGGAAAUCCCGCGGCCUUCGUGUUCGUCCCGCGCCCAGGUCGGGUGCGCUUGAAGUAGGGGGUUAUAAGCGUCCACGCGGGAGAGGGAGCGAGCGGCCUCACGCGAGCGCCUGCCUCGUCCUUGUCCCCGCGCGGCCAACCCUCUGUAAGAGGGCCCUGGUCCUUCCUUUUAUAGGCGUAAGGAGAGGAUCCAGGUGUGCAAUGGGGGUGUAGCAAAGUGCUAUCGUGUCUAGAGGAGGAGAGCUAGCGCCCUAAGUACAUGCCAUCGUGGCAGCCGAAGAGGUUUUGGCACCCGGUUCGUGUGGUGUCGUGGCCGUCGGAGGAGCGCUGGAGCCUGGCGGAAGGACAACUGUUGGGGCUGUCGAGUCCUUGCUGACGUCCUCUUGCUUCCGUAAGGGGGCUGAGUCCCGCCAUCGUUAUAGAGCGUGCGGGGCGCCAUCAUUACUUUGUCUGGCGGAGUGAGCCAGAUGGGACGCUGGUCUUGUUUCCCGUAGCCUGAGUCAGCUCGGGGUAAGGUAAUGAUGGCGCCUCCUGUUGACGUGGCCGGUCCACGCCCUAGGUUGGGCGAUGUGGAGGCUCCUCCGAGGUCGAGGUUGAGUCUGUCUUCCGUGGCCGAGGUCGAGUCCGAGCCCCUGGGUCGGGCGAGGCGGAGACCGUCGGCUGAGGCCAGGGCGGAGUCCAAGCCCUGGGGUCGGGCGAAGUGGAGUUCGUCGUCUUCAGGGGCUGAGCCCGAGUCCGAGCCCUGGGUUGAGCGGAGCGGAGUUCGCCGCCUUCAGGGGCUGAGCCCGAGUCCGAGCCCUGGGUCGGGCGGAGUGGAGUUCGCCGUCUUCAGGGGCUGAGCCCGAGUCCGAGCCCUGGGUCGGGCGGAGCGGAGUUCGCCGUCUUCCGGGGCUUAGCCCGAGUCCGAGCCCUGGGUCGAGCGAAGUGGAGUUUCCUAUGGUGCCUGAGGCCGGGCCUGGCUGCCUGUCAGCCUCGCUCUGUCGAGUGGCACAGCAGUCGGAGCGGCGCAGGCGGCGCUGUCCUUCUGUCAGGCCGGUCAGUGGAGCGGCGAAGUGACUGUGGUCACUUUGGCUCUGCUGACUGAAGGGCGCGCGUUAGGAUAAAGGUGUUAGGCCACCUUCGCAUUAAAUGCUCCGGCGAUUUGGUUGGUUGGCGCGGCGAUUUGGUCAGGGUUGCUUCUUGGCGAAGACAGGGCCUCGGGCGAGCCGGAAGUAUGUUCGUCGCUGGAGGGGGGCCUCGGGCGAGACGGAGAUCCUCCGGGGUCGGCUGCCCUUGCCUGAGGCUAGGCUCGGGCGAGGCGUGAUCGAGUCCCUCGAAUGGACCGAUCCCUGACUUAAUCGCACCCAUCAGGCCUUUGCAGCUUUGUGCUGAUGGGGGUUACCAGCUGAGAAUUAGGAGUCUUGAGGGUACCCCUAAUUAUGGUCCCCAACAGUAGCCCCCGAGCCUCGAAGGGAGUGUUAACACUCGCUUGGAGGCUUGUGUCGCAUUUUUUUGCAAGGGGACCAGCCUUUCUCGGUUGCGUUUUGUUCUGGUGGGUGCGCGCGACCGCACCUGCCGGGUGUAGCCCCCGAGGCCUCGGAGGAGUGGAUUUACUCCUCCGAGGUCUUAAUGCCUCGCGCAAUGCUUCGGCUGGUCUGGUCGUUCCCUCAUGCGAGCUGGCCGUAGCCCGGGUGCACGGUCGGGUCCCAAGUUCUCGGGCUGGUAUGUUGACGCUGUCAAUGGUUUGGCCAGAGCCGGGUUUGCGAGAGCAGCCCCCGAGCCUCCGCACAGGGCAAGAGGACGGUCAGGGACAGACUCGACUUUUUUACAUACGCCCCUGCGUCGCCUUUUCGCAAGGAGUAGGGGGGAAAGCGCCAUGUUGCCCUCGGAGGGCGCCGAACAUGGUGUCUCCGGUGAGCUGCUGGCGGGUAAUCCGAGCGGACGUCCGUGCCCCAUUUGUUAGGGGUCGGCUAGAGGCCCAGAGGCGCGCCCAAAAGUACCUGCGGGUGAUCUGCCGGACCCGGUCCCCUGUCGACGGGGUCCGAGGGCUCGAUGCCUCCCUCUGAUGGGAUUCCGUUACAAGAUCGUUCCCGCUGGUCUCGGAAAUGUCCUAGGGUACCUUGGGAGCGCAACCCGAGCCUUGGUUGUGUAUCGAACGUACCCAUGGUCAUCCCUCGCUCUGUGUCUGAGGCGGCUGUGAACCCUUCGAGGGCCAGCCUUCGAACCCCUGAUCAGUAGUGGGCGCGGAGCCCGAGUGGCCUGAGGCGGCUGUCGAACCCUUCCGAGGGGCCGGCCUUCGAACCUCUGACCAGUAGUGGGUGUGGAGCCCACGCGCUCUGAGGCGGCUGUUGAACCCCUCCGAGGGGCCAGCCUUCGAACAUCUGAUCAGUAGGGAGGCUCGGAGCCUGGUUCCUUCACGGAGAAGGAUCCUUUUCGGGGUAUCCCCCUUUCCCGGUCCCUGUUGCAAGAGAGAGAAAGAGGUAAAGGAUACAAAAUCAAACGACACAGCGUACCUUUUUUGACGCGGUCAUUAUGGCGAAGGCGAAGCGUCGCUUGCUUCUCCUGCCAGAGGCGCCGCCUGUCCCGCCGCGGGGUUAAUGCGACAGGGCGUGCGGUUUGCGGGGCGGCCGUUGCGCGUGCGCGAGCCGUUCGAGGAACGGAACACGGGCGCGUCGUCUUCACGCCGUGAGAGAGGGUUCUCUCGCUGCCCCCGGAUGGGACGUAAGCUUGGCUGACGACGUGACCGCUGCUCCUGCCCGCCUGCCACCGCCAUUACUGCCGGCCCAUUUUUGGCCGUAUUGACCGUCGCGCCAGGCUGGCGCUGCUGGGUCGUGCGCUGGGUCGCCUCGAGUCGCGGUACUGGUUCCGCAGUCGAGGAGGCGCGGUAGUGGUGCGAGUGGCGGUGCAGUUGCUUGCACGUAGCGACCGGCGCGCUGGUUGCAUGACGCAUGGGCCUGGGCCUCCAUGCUGGGCGUGUUGGAAGUCGGAGAAGUGCGCCCACUUGGCGCGGUUGCAUGCCGCCUCCAUGGCUGCCCGCCCUUUCACCCGCUGGUCUGGGCGAAAGUGGAGGGACGCUUGUAACCGCUGGACGGUUGCAUGCACCGCUGAUAGUCGUCUAGAGGGGGGUGAAUAGGGCGAAACUGAAAUUUACAAAUAUAAACACAACUACAAGCCGGGUUAGCGUUAGAAAUAUAAAUGAGUCCGAGAGAGAGGGCGCAAAACAAAUCCCAAGCGAAUAAGUAAGUGAGACACGGAGAUUUGUUUUACCGAGGUUCGGUUCUUGCAAACCUACUCCCCGUUGAGGAGGCCACAAAGGCCGGGUCUCUUUCAACCCUUCCCUCUCUCAAACGGUCCCACGGACCGAGUGAGCUUCUCUUCUCAAAUCAAAGCCGGGAACAAAACUUCCCCGCAAGGGCCACCACACAAUUGGUGCCUCUUGCCUUGAUUACAAUGGAGUUGUGAUCUCAAGAACAAGUGAGAAAGAAAAGAAGCAAUCCAAGCGCAAGAGCUCAAAUGAACACGGCAAAUCACUCUCACUAGUCACUAGGGCUUAGUGUGGAAUUGGAGAGGAUUUGAUCUCUUUAGUGUGUCUAGAAUUGAAUGCUAGAGCUCUUGUAAGUGGUUGAGAAGUAGAAAACUUGGAUGCCAUGAAUGGUGGGGUGGUUGGGGUAUUUAUAGCCCCAACAACCAAAUGUGGCCGUUGGGAGGCUGUCUGUUCGAUGGCGCACUGGACAGUCCGGUGCCCCCUGCCACGUCAUCACUGCCGUUGGAUUCUGACCGUUGGAGCUUCUGACUUGUGGGCCCGCCUGGGUGUCCGGUGCACACCGGACAGGUACUGUUUGCUGUCCGGUGUGCCAGCAUGGGCGAUUCUGACUUCUGCGCGCGCAGAGGGCGCAUUAAAUGCGCGGCAGAGAGCCGUUGGCGCGGAGAUGACCGUUGCUCCGGAGGCGCACCGGACAGUCCGGUGCACACCGGACAGUCCGGUGAAUUAUAGUGGACUAGCCGUUGGCGUUUCCCGAAGCUGGCGAGUUCCUGAGGCCGACCUCCCUUGGCGCACCGGACACUGUCCGGUGUACACCGGACAGUCCGGUGAAUUAUAGCCGAGUCGCCCUGGAAAUUCCCGAAGGUGGCGAGUUUGAGUCUGAGUCCCCUGGUGCACCGGACAGGUACUGUUCACUGUCCGGUGGCACACCGGACAGUCCGGUGCGCCAGACCAGGGGUGCCUUCGGUUGCCCCUUUGCUCCUUUAUUGAAUCCAAAACUUGGUCUUUUUAUUGGCUGAGGGUGAACCUUUUACACCUGUAUAAUCUACAUACUUGGGCAAACUAGUUAGUCCAAUUAUUUGUGUUGGGCAAUUCAACCACCAAAAUUAUUUAGGAACUAGGUGUAAGCCUAAUUCCCUUUCAAUCUCCCCUUUUUGGUGAUUGAUGCCAACACAAACCAAAGCAAACAGAGAUGUGCAUAAUUGAACUAGUUUGCAUAAUGUAAGUGUAAAGGUUGCUUGGAAUUGAGCCAAUAUAACUACUUACAAGAUAUGCAUGGAAUGUUUCUUUCUUAUGUAACAUUUUGGACCACGUUUGCACCACAAGUUUUGUUUUUGCAAAUUCUUUUUGUAAAUCCAUUUCAAAGAUCUUUUGCAAAUAGUUAAAGGUAAAUGAAUAAGAGUUUGUAAAGCAUUUUCAAGAUUUGAAAUUUUCUCCCCCUGUUUCAAAUGCUUUUCUUUUGACUUAACAAAACUCCCCCUAAAAGAGAUCCACCUCUUAGUGUUCAAGAGGGUUUUGAUAUACCAUUUCUGAAAUACUACUUUCUCCCCCUUUUGAACACAAUAGGAUACCAAAUGAUAAAUACUUUUGGAAAGCACUAAGUUUUUGAAUUUUGGUGAUGGUGGUGCGGUCCUUUUGCUUUGGGCUCAUUUCUCCCCCUUUUUGGCAUGAAUCGCCAAAAACGGAAUCAUUAGAGCCCUCGAAGUAAUUUCUUCCCCUUUGGUCAUAAGUAAAUGAGUUACGAUUAUACCAAAGACGAAAUCCGGUCCUUUUGCUUUGGGCUUUUGCUUUCUCCCCCAAAGACAAGGUCCGUUUAGUGGAGCGAUGGCGAAGGAUGAGUUACGGAGUGGAAGCCUUUGUCUUUUGCCGAAGACUCCAAAUCCCUUUCAAUAUACCUAUGACUUGGUUUGAAAUAGACUUGAAAACACAUUAGUCAUAGCAUAUAUGAUCAAAAGUGUAAAUGAGCUAUGUGUGCAAUCUAGCAAAAGAAGUUGCGAGAAUCAAGAAUAUUGAGCUCAUGCCUAAGUUUGGUAAAGGUUUGUUCAUCAAGAGGCUUGGUAAAGAUAUCGGCUAAUUGAUCUUUAGUGUUAAUGUAAGAAAUCUCGAUAUCCCCCUUUUGUUGGUGAUCCCUAAGAAAAUGAUACCGAAUGGCUAUGUGCUUAGUGCGGCUAUGCUCGACGGGAUUGUCGGCCAUUUUGAUUGCACUCUCAUUAUCACAUAGCAAAGGGACUUUGGUUAAUUUGUAACCGUAGUCCCGCAGGGUUUGCCUCAUCCAAAGCAAUUGCGCGCAACAAUGAUCUGCGGCAAUGUACUCGGCUUCGGCGGUGGAAAGAGCGACCGAAUUUUGCUUCUUUGAAGCCCAAGACACCAAGGAUCUUCCCAAGAACUGACAAGUCCCCGAUGUGCUCUUCCUAUUAAUUUUGCACCCCGCCCAAUCGGCAUCCGAAUAACCAAUCAAAUCAAACGUGGAUCCCCGAGGGUACCAAAGCCCAAACUUAGGUGUGUAAGCCAAAUAUCUCAAGAUUCGUUUUACGGCCGUAAGGUGGGAUUCCUUAGGGUCGGAUUGGAAUCUUGCACACAUGCAAACGGAAAGCAUAAUGUCCGGUCGAGAUGCACAUAAAUAAAGCAAUGAACCAAUCAUCGACCGGUAUACCUUUUGAUCCACGGACUUACCUCCCGUGUCGAGGUCGAGAUGCCCAUUAGUUCCCAUGGGUGUCUUGAUGGGUUUGGCAUCCUUCAUCCCAAACUUGGUUAGAAUGUCUUGAGUGUACUUCGUUUGGCUAAUGAAGGUGCCCUCUUGGAGUUGCUUGACUUGGAAUCCUAGAAAAUACUUCAACUCCCCCAUCAUCGACAUCUCGAAUUUCUGUGUCAUGAUCCUACUAAACUCUUCACAUGUAGACUCGUUAGUAGACCCAAAUAUAAUAUCAUCAACAUAAAUUUGGCAUACAAACAAGUCAUUUUCAAGAGUUUUAGUAAAGAGUGUAGGAUCGGCUUUGCCGACUUUGAAGUCAUUAGCAAUAAGGAAAUCUCUUAGGCAUUCAUACCAUGCUCUUGGGGCUUGCUUGAGCCCAUAAAGCGCCUUAGAGAGCCUAUAAACAUAGUUAGGAUACUCACUGUCUUCAAAGCCGGGAGGUUGCUCAACAUAGACCUCUUCCUUGAUCGGUCCAUUGAGGAAGGCACUUUUCACGUCCAUUUGAUAAAGCUUAAAGCCAUGGUAAGUAGCAUAGGCUAAUAAUAUGCGAAUUGACUCAAGCCUAGCUACGGGUGCAUAGGUUUCACCGAAAUCCAAACCUUCGACUUGUGAAUAUCCUUUGGCCACGAGUCGAGCUUUGUUUCUUGUCACCACACCAUGCUCAUCUUGCUUGUUGCGGAAGACCCAUUUGGUUCCUACAACAUUUUGGUUAGGACGUGGAACUAAAUGCCAUACCUCGUUCCUUGUGAAAUUGUUGAGCUCCUCUUGCAUUGCCAUCACCCAAUCCGAAUCUUGAAGUGCUUCCUCUACCCUGUGUGGCUCAAUAGAGGAAACAAAAGAGUAAUGUUCACAAAAAUGUGCAACACGAGAUCGAGUGGUUACCCCCUUAUGAAUGUCGCCGAGGAUGGUGUCGACGGGGUGAUCUCGUUGUAUUGCUUGGUGGACUCUUGGGUGUGGCGGCCUUGGUUCUUCCUCAUCCUCCUUUUCUUGAUCAUUUGCAUCUCCCCCUUGAUCAUUGCCAUCAUCUUGAGGUGGCUCAUCUUCUUGAUUUUGCCCUUCAUCAUCUUGAGCCUCAUCCUCAUUUUGAGUUGGUGGAGAUGCUUGCAUGGAGGAGGAUGGUUGAUCUUGUGCAUUUGGAGGCUCUUCGGAUUCCUUAGGACACACAUCCCCAAUGGACAUGUUCCUUAGCGCGAUGCAUGGAGCCUCUUCAUUACCUAUCUCAUCAAGAUCAACUUGCUCUACUUGAGAGCCGUUAGUUUCAUCAAACACAACGUCACAUGAGACUUCAACUAGUCCAGUGGACUUGUUAAAGACCCUAUAUGCCCUUGUGUUUGAGUUAUAACCAAGUAAAAAGCCUUCUACAGUUUUAGGAGCAAAUUUAGAUUUUCUACCUCUUUUAACAAGAAUAAAGCAUUUGCUACCAAAAACUCUAAAAUAUGAAAUGUUGGGCUUUUUACCGGUUAGGAGUUCAUAUGAUGUCUUCUUGAGGAUUCGGUGAAGAUAUAACCGGUUGAUGGCGUAGCAGGCGGUGUUGACCGCUUCGGCCCAAAACCGGUCCGAUGUCUUGUACUCAUCAAGCAUGGUUCUUGCCAUGUCCAAUAGAGUUCGAUUCUUCCUCUCCACUACACCAUUUUGUUGUGGCGUGUAGGGAGAGGAGAACUCAUGCUUGAUGCCCUCCUCCUCAAGGAAGCCUUCAAUUUGAGAGUUCUUGAACUCCGUCCCGUUGUCGCUUCUUAUUUUCUUGAUCCUUAAGCCGAACUCAUUUUGAGCUCGUCUCAAGAAUCCCUUUAAGGUCUCUUGGGUUUGAGAUUUUUCCUGUAAAAAGAAUACCCAAGUGAAGCGAGAAUAAUCAUCCACUAUUACAAGACAAUACUUACUCCCGCCGAUGCUUAUGUAAGCAAUCGGGCCGAAUAGAUCCAUGUGGAGUAGCUCAAGCGGCCUGUCGGUCGUCAUGAUGUUCUUGUGCGGAUGAUGGACUCCAACUUGCUUCCCUGCCUGACAUGCGCUACAAAUCCUGUCUUUCUCAAAAUGAACAUUCGUUAAUCCUAAAAUGUGUUCUCCCUUUAGAAGCUUGUGAAGAUUCUUCAUCCCAACAUGGGCUAGUCGGCGGUGCCAGAGCCAACCCAUGUUAGUCUUAGCAAUUAAGCAUGUGUCGAGUUCAGCUCUAUCAAAGUCUACUAAGUAUAGCUGACCCUCUAACACACCCUUAAAUGCUAUUGAGUCAUCACUUCUUCUAAAGACAGUGACACCUACAUCAGUAAAAAGACAGUUGUAGCCCAUUUGACAUAAUUGGGAAACAGAAAGCAAGUUGUAAUCUAAGGAAUCAACAAGAAAAACAUUGGAAAUAGAAUGGUCAGGAGAUAUAGCAAUUUUACCAAGUCCUUUGACCAAACCUUGAUUUCCAUCCCCGAAUGUGAUAGCUCGUUGGGGAUCUUGGUUUUUCUCAUAUGAGGAGAACAUCCUUUUCUCCCCUGUCAUGUGGUUUGUGCACCCGCUGUCGAGUAUCCAACUUGAGCCCCCGGAUGCAUAAACCUACAAAACAAAUUUAGUUCUUGACUUUAGGUACCCAAACUGUUUUGGGUCCUUUGGCAUUAGAAACAAGAACUUUGGGUACCCAAACACAAGUCUUGGAGCCCUUGUGUUUGCCCCCAACAAACUUGGCAACGACCUUGCCGGAUUUGUUAGUCAAAACAUAUGAUGCAUCAAAAGUCUUAAAUGAAAUGCUAUGUUCAUUUGAUGCAUUAGGAAUUUUCUUCUUAGGCAACUUGGCACGGGUUGGUUGCCUAGAACUAGAUGUCUCACCCUUAUACAUAAAAGCAUGAUUAGGGCCAGAGUGAGACUUCCUAGAAUGAAUUUUCCUAAUUUUGUCCUCGGGAUAACCGGCAGGGUAUAAAAUGUAACCCUCGUUAUCCUGAGGCAUGGGAGCCUUGCCCUUAACAAAGUUAGACAAAUUUUUAGGAGGGGCAUUAAGUUUGACAUUGUCUCCCCUUUGGAAGCCAAUGCCAUCCUUAAUGCCAGGGCGUCUCCCAUUAUAAAGCAUGCUACGAGCAAAUUUAAAUUUCUCAUUCUCUAGGUUGUGCUCGGCAAUUUUAGCAUCUAGUUUUGCUAUAUGAUCAUUUUGUUGUUUAAUUAAAGCCAUAUGAUCAUGAAUAGCAUCAAUAUCAACAUUUCUACAUCUAGUACAAAUAGAUACAUGCUCAACAAUAGAUGUAGAGGGUUUGCAAGAUUUUAAUUCUACGACCUUAGCUUGUAAUAUGUCAUUUUUAAUUCUAAGGUCGGAAAUAGUAGCAUUGCAAACAUCAAGAUCUUUAGCCUUAACAAGCAAUUUCUCAUUUUCAAUUUUAAGGCUAGCUAGGGAAGCAUUCAACUCAUCAAUCCUAGCAAGUAAAUCAACAUUAUCAUCUCUAGGAUUUGAAGUUGAAACAUUGCAAACAUGUGAAUCAACCUUAGCAUUUAAACUAGCAUUUUCAUUCCUAAGGUUGUCAAUCAUCUCACGGCAAGUGCUUAGCUCACUAGAUAAUUUUUCACAUUUUUCAAUUUCUAGAGCAUAAGCAUUUUUAACCUUAACAUGUUUCUUGUUUUCCUUAAUAAGGAGGUCCUCUUGGGAAUCCAAAAGGUCAUCCUUUUCAUGAAUAGCACUAACCAAUUCAUUUAAUUUUUCCUUUUGAGCUAUGUUAAGGUUGGCAAAAAGGGUGCGCAAAUUAUCUUCCUCAUCACUAGCAUUGUCAUCACUAGAGGAUUCAUAUUUAGUGGAGGAUUUAGAUUUAACCUUCUUUUUGCCGUCCUUUGCCAUGAGGCACUUGUUGCCGACGUUGGGGAAGAGGAGUCCUUUGGUGAUGGCGAUGUUGGCGGCGUCCUCGUCGUCGGAGGAGUCGCUUGAGCUCUCGUCGGAGUCCCACUCGCGACAAACAUGGGCAUCGCCGCCCUUCUUCUUGUAAUACCUCUUCUUCUCCUUUCUUCUCCCCUUCUUGUCGUCGCCUCGGUCACUAUCACUAGAUAUAGGACAUUUAGCAAUAAAAUGACCGGGCUUACCACACUUGUAGCAAACCUUCUUGGAGCGGGACUUGUAAUCCUUCCCCCUCCUUUGCUUGAGGAUUUGGCGAAAGCUCUUGAUGACGAGCGCCAUUUCCUCAUUGUCGAGCUUGGAGGCGUCUAUGGGUUGUCGACUUGGUGUAGACUCCUCCUUCUUCUCCUCCGUCGCCUUGAAUGCAACGGGUUGAGCUUCGGAUGUGGUGGCAUCAUCAAGCUCGUUGAUCUUCCUCGAGCCUUCGAUCAUGCACUCAAAACUUACAAAAUUCCCGAUAACUUCCUCGGGGGUCAUUUUAGUAUAUCUAGGAUUACCACGAAUUAAUUGAACUUGAGUAGGGUUAAGGAAAAUAAGUGAUCUUAGAAUAACCUUAACCACCUCGUGGUCAUCCCACUUUACGCUCCCGAGGUUGCGUGCUUGGUUCACCAAGGUUUUGAGCCGAUUGUACAUGUGUUGUGGCUCCUCCCCUUUGCGAAGCCGGAACCGACCGAGCUCCCCCUCAAUCGUUUCCCGCUUGGUGAUCUUGGUGAGCUCAUCACCUUCAUGCGCGGUUUUGAGUAAAUCCCAAAUCUCCUUUGCGUUCUUCAACCCUUGAACUUUGUUAUACUCCUCUCUACUCAAAGAGGCUAGGAGUAUUGUUGUUGCUUGAGAGUUGAAGUGCUCGAUUUGGGCCACCUCAUCCUCAUCAUAGUUCUCAUCCCCUACGGAUGGUACCUGCGCACCAAACUCAACAACAUCCCAUAUGCUUUUGUGGAGCGAGGUUAGAUGAAAUCGCAUUAAAUCGCUCCACCUAGCGUAAUCUUCACCAUCAAAAGUUGGUGGUUUGCCUAAUGGGACGGAAAGUAAAGGUGUAUGUUUGGAAAUGCGAGGAUAGCGUAGGGGGAUCUUACUAUACUUCUUGCGCUCUUGGCGCUUAGAAGUGACGGAGGGCGCAUCGGAGUCGGAGGUAGAAGUUGAUGAAGUGUCGGUCUCGUAGUAGACCACCUUCCUCAUCCUCUUAUGCUUGUCGCCUUUCCGAUGCGGCUUGUGGGAAGAAGAUUUUUCCUUCUUCUCUUGGUGGUGAGAAGAGGAAGCCUUUUUCUCCUUCCGUUUGGAGGAGUCCUUCUUCUUCUCCUUCCUCUUGGUGCGGGACUCUUCCGAUGAAGUGCUCCCAUGGCUUGUAGUGGGCUUUUCGCCGGUCUCCAUCUCCUUCUUGGCGUGAUCUCCCGACAUCACUUCGAGCGGUUAGGCUCUAAUGAAGCACCGGCCUUUGAUACCAAUUGAUAGUCGUCUAGAGGGGGGGUGAAUAGGGCAAAACUGAAAUUUACAAAUAUAAACACAACUACAAGCCGGGUUAGCGUUAGAAAUAUAAAUGAGUCCGAGAGAGAGGGCGCAAAACAAAUCCCAAGCGAAUAAGUAAGUGAGACACGGAGAUUUGUUUUACCGAGGUUCGGUUCUUGCAAACCUACUCCCCGUUGAGGAGGCCACAAAGGCCGGGUCUCUUUCAACCCUUCCCUCUCUCAAACGGUCCCACGGACCGAGUGAGCUUCUCUUCUCAAAUCAAAGCCGGGAACAAAACUUCCCCGCAAGGGCCACCACACAAUUGGUGCCUCUUGCCUUGAUUACAAUGGAGUUGUGAUCUCAAGAACAAGUGAGAAAGAAAAGAAGCAAUCCAAGCGCAAGAGCUCAAAUGAACACGGCAAAUCACUCUCACUAGUCACUAGGGCUUAGUGUGGAAUUGGAGAGGAUUUGAUCUCUUUAGUGUGUCUAGAAUUGAAUGCUAGAGCUCUUGUAAGUGGUUGAGAAGUAGAAAACUUGGAUGCCAUGAAUGGUGGGGUGGUUGGGGUAUUUAUAGCCCCAACAACCAAAUGUGGCCGUUGGGAGGCUGUCUGUUCGAUGGCGCACCGGACAGUCCGGUGCACACCGGACAGUCCGGUGCCCCCUGCCACGUCAUCACUGCCGUUGGAUUCUGACCGUUGGAGCUUCUGACUUGUGGGCCCGCCUGGGUGUCCGGUGCACACCGGACAGGUACUGUUUGUUGUCCGGUGUGCCAGCAUGGGCGAUUCUGACUUCUGCGCGCGCAGAGGGCGCAUUAAAUGCACGGCAGAGAGCCGUUGGCGCGGAGAUGACCGUUGCUCCGGAGGCGCACCGGACAGUCCGGUGCACACCGGACAGUCCGGUGAAUUAUAGUGGACUAGCCGUUGGCGUUUCCCGAAGCUGGCGAGUUCCUGAGGCCGACCUCCCUUGGCGCACCGGACACUGUCCGGUGUACACCGGACAGUCCGGUGAAUUAUAGCCGAGUCGCCCUGGAAAUUCCCGAAGGUGGCGAGUUUGAGUCUGAGUCCCCUGGUGCACCGGACAGGUACUGUUCACUGUCCGGUGGCACACCGGACAGUCCGGUGCGCCAGACCAGGGGUGCCUUCGGUUGCCCCUUUGCUCCUUUAUUGAAUCCAAAACUUGGUCUUUUUAUUGGCUGAGGGUGAACCUUUUACACCUGUAUAAUCUACAUACUUGGGCAAACUAGUUAGUCCAAUUAUUUGUGUUGGGCAAUUCAACCACCAAAAUUAUUUAGGAACUAGGUGUAAGCCUAAUUCCCUUUCAACCGCGCGCGGUGGUUUGGCUUCUUCUGCCCUGGGCCAGCUUUCAUGACGCGUGGGACCCAGCCCCCGCGCCGUAGGGGGAGGACCUUGGAGCGUGUUGGAGAAGACUCAGCCCGUGACGGCUGGGGACGCAAGUAGGGAGAGUCGCCUUUAAAAGGAGGGUGACCCCCUUGAAAGGCGACCAUGUCUUCGCGCUCCCUUAUGCAUCGUAUCUUUCCACCUUCCGAGCCCCCGGAUGGGGGAUGCCCGAAGUCCUUCCGCCUUGUCGUUGGGGGAACGCAACUCCGUGGGAGUUGGUACCUUUUAGCCAUCGUUCGGCUUCAAGGAUUUUCAUCACGCAGCCCGGCUGCACCCCUCCGCCGGCGGUCACCCAAGACGGUGACCACCAGCCCCUGGAUGGGGAGAGGCAAGCCGGGCUAUGAUCUUGGUCCCGCCCUCAGCUUCAAGGAUGUUCAUCAUCCUUGCUGGGGCGGAGAGCGAGGCGAGCCGGGGCUCUACCUCCCGCGCGGGCCGGCUGGCCACCUCCUCUUCCAGCUUCUGGUGGUGGAAACCAUCCUCCAGCUCUGCGGAGGAGGCGUCCUCUAGCCAUGCCGGGGAAGGCGAACUGUUGCUGCCCAGCUAGGAUGCAACAUUUCGCCCUCUUCCUCGCUUUCGUGGCGAGGACGGGAGCGAGGACCUGCCGGUGCGCUUUGGAGCGGCCCGCUCUUUGCCUUUGAUGGCUGGUUCGCGUCCCUUGAGCGGGAACGCGAACGAGAGCCUUCCGGUGGCCGCGUCCGUCCUGGGACCAUGGCUGCUGCUGCAGAGGUCGCUGGCGAGUCGCCCGGAACUCGUCGCCCCGCAGGCUCCCCGGUGUGGAGGUUGUUCAUACCCGCGGGGACAGAACCGGAGUUCCGUUUGUAAUGGCACCUUGAAUGCCGGUCUUCUGUUCAUUGUGGCUGUCGGGGCCUGAACGUGUAUGUAUUUUUGGCGCGGAGCCGUGUUUUUUUUCAUUUUUGAGCACUAAGACUCGCCUGUUGGUUGUCUGAACCGCUUCACCAAGCGUGAGUCGCCCCGUGCAAAGGUGACGAGUGAGGUAUCCAUAUCCCGGAGGCGUAGGAGUCCCUCGGCUCGGUCGACCUUGCUGUCCAUGGUUUCUCUUGCUUAGUUAAAGGAACCCCUCGGCCGCUCUUCGGUGAGCCGAAGCCAGGGGUAGCGUUGUCAGCACAGACAGAGGCAGAGUUGGCUCGAAAAGAAGACUUGGUCGGCCAGAGCCUGGCCGGGUCGUCCGUUAGCGGGACCGACGCUGGAGUUGAUCUGCCGAGGCCUCGGGCCGGGCUGAUGCCUUCGGGGGACAUCUGGCCGAGGCCUCGGGGAGACCAGCUGAGCCGCCUGCCCGAGCCGAAUUCUUGGAGGAGACCUAGGCGGCGAUGGCCCGGGCGUGAUGUUGAAGUCGUCCUUCAGAGUGGAGAUCCUCGGACCACAUCACCGUCGGAGGCUAGGUCGGACCUCGUCGAAGGUGUAGUCGACGCCGAGGGUGCUACUGCUCCCUUCAGCCGUCAAGAUCCGAGCCUGCAGGAUCGGAUUAUCUUGUAGCGUGUGUUUUCUGCGGCCGCUGAGGCCCAAGCACACCCUCGCCGUGUUGUAAAGUUGCGCUUCUUUUCCUCUUGUUUCGAGUAUCUGGACUUUUUUGUCGGUAACAGAAUUGUCUGUGCGAGCGAGAGUUGCUUUUCACGGAAGGUGAUGAGUGAGGUAUCCGUAUCCCGGAGGCGUAGGAAUCCCUCGGCUCGGUCGGCCUUGCCGCUUAUGCAUGCUCUUGCCCGUCCAUGGGGUUCUGUCACCGACGCAGUCGAGAAGGCCCGAAGAAUCGCUUCGGCAGAGGAGCUUUCGAACGUGAAGGCUUGUUCGGUCCGCGGAAUCACUUAUCCGAACGUGAGUUACUUAUCGCAGAAGGUGAUGAGUGAGGUAUCCGUAUCCCGGAGGCGUAGGAGUCCCUCGGCUCGGUCAGCCUUGGCUGCUUACGUGUACUCCGUCGUUUUCAGGAUCCACUUUCGAAGUAGUCGAAAAGCACGAAAGACAUUCUGGCAGAAAGGAUCUUUUUUCAAGGAAAAAAUUCAACGCAGAGGGGGUUCCCCCCCUUUUAGCCCCCGAGGGAGGGUCGGGCUUUGCCGAGGCAAGGCUGACCCUUCCUUGAUGACUAAACUUUGCGUGGGAACGAGGUAUAUGAACAACUUGAAAACAUCUUAAGGGUAGAAGCGACGUAGCUGUUGGAUGUUCCAGGCGUUGCUGUAGACCUCGCCUUGGCUGUUGGCCAGCUUGUAUGUUCCGGGCUUCAGAACUUUGGCGAUGACGAACGGCCCUUCCCAGGGAGGCGUGAGCUUGUGCCGCCCUCGGGCGUCUUGUCGCAGCCGAAGCACCAGGUCGCCCACCUGGAGGUCUCGGGACCGGACCCCUCGGGCGUGGUAGCGUCGCAGGGACUGCUGGUACCGCGCCGAGUGUAGUAAGGCCUUGUCCCGAGCCUCUUCCAGCUGGUCCAGCGAGUCUUCUCGACUAGCUUGGUUGCUUUGGUCAGCAUAGGCCCUCGUCCUCGGGGAACAGUAUUCUAAGUCUGUGGGCAAGAUGGCCUCGGCCCCAUAGACUAGAAAGAACGGCGUGAAGCCCGUGGCUCGGCUCGGUGUUGUCCUCAGACUCCAGACCACCGAGGGGAGUUCCUUCAUCCAUCGCUUGCCGAACUUAUUGAGGUCAUUGUAGAUCCGAGGCUUGAGUCCUUGUAGAAUCAUGCUGUUGGCACGCUCUACUUGCCCAUUCGUCAUGGGGUGAGCCACGGCGGCCCAGUCCACCCGGAUGUGGUGAUCCUCGCAGAAGUCCAGGAACUUUCUGCCGGUGAACUGGGUGCCGUUGUCGGUGAUGAUGGAGUUCGGGACCCCGAAACGAUGGAUGAUGUUGGUGAAGAACGCCACCGCCUGCUCGGACCUGAUGCUGUUUAGGGGUCGGACCUCGAUCCACUUGGAGAAUUUGUCGAUGGCGACCAACAGGUGCGUGUAGCCCCCAGGUGCCUUCUGCAAGGGGCCGACGAGGUCCAGACCCCACACAGCAAAAGGCCAGGUGAUUGGUAUCGUCUGCAGAGCCUGAGCAGACAGGUGGGUCUGCCUUGCGUAGAACUGACACCCUUCGCAGGUGCGAACAAUUCUAGUGACGUCGGCCACCGCCGUCGGCCAGUAGAAACCUUGUCGAAAGGCGUUUCCAACAAGGGCUCGAGGUGCUGCGUGAUGGCCGCAAGCCCUCGAGUGUAUCUCUUGUAGGAGCUUCUGACCUUCGGUGAUGGGGAUGCAUCGCUGGAGGAUGCCUAAGGGGCUGCGGUGGUAGAGCUCCUUCCCGUCUCCCAGCAAGACGAACGACUUGGCGCGCCGCGCCAACCGCCGAGCUUCGGCUCGGUCGAGGGGUAGCUCUCCUCGGUGGAGAUAUUGCAGGUACGGGGUCUGCCAGUUUUGAUUAGGCGUGACCCCGCUUCGCUCCUCCUCGACACGCAGUGCCUCACCCUCGGGGGCCGAGGGUGCCUCGGGCUGAACCGAGAGUGCCUCAGGCCGAGCUGAGGGUGGCUCGGGCCGAGCCGAGGGUGCCUCGGACUGAGCCGAGGGUUCCUCGGGCUGGGCCGAGGGUGCCUCGGGCUCGGGCGUGUCGUCGAUCUUGAUGGAGGGUUGAUGCAGGUCUCGGGAGAAGACGUCCGGGGGAACCGUUGUUCGGCCCGAGGCUAUCUUAGCCAGCUCGUCCGCAGUCUCGUUGUAGCGUCGGGCGAUGUGGUUGAGCUCGAGCCCGUAGAACUUGUCUUCCAGGCGCCGAACCUCAUCGCAGUAGGCCUCCAUCUUCGGGUCACGGCAAUGGGAGUUCUUCAUGACUUGGUCGAUGACGAGCUACGAGUCACCGCGAGCGUCGAGGCGUCGGACCCCUAGCUCGAUGGCGAUCCGCAACCCGCUGACCAGAGCCUCGUACUCAGCCACAUUGUUGGACGCCGGGAAAUGGAGGCGCAGCACGUAGCGUAGGUGCUUCCCGAGGGGCGAGAUGAAGAGUAGGCCUGCGUCGGCUCCUGUCUUCAUCAGUGACCCGUCGAAGAACAUGGUCCAGAGCUCCGGUUGGAUCGGAGCUGUUGGGAGCUAGGUGUCGACCCAUUCAGCCACGAAGUCCGCCAAGACCUGGGACUUGAUGGCCUUCCGAGGGGCAAACGCGAUUGUUUCGCCCAUGAUUUCCACCGCCCACUUUGCGAUUCUACCCGAGGCCUCUCGGCACUGGAUGAUCUCCCCCAGUGGGAAGGAUGACACCACAGUUACCGGAUGAGACUCGAAGUAGUGUCGCAGCUUCCGCCGCGCCAGGAUCACCGCGUACAGCAGCUUCUGAACUUGUGGGUAGCGGAUCUUGGUUUCGGACAGUACCUCGCUGAUGAAGUAGACUGGCCUCUGGACGGGCAAUGUAUGCCCCUCUUCUCAUCUCUCAACCACAAUCGCGGCGCUAACCACCCGGGUGGUCGCGGCGACGUAGAUCAAGAGGGCUUCGCCGGCAGCGGGGGGCACCAAGAUGGGCGCGUUCGUGAGGAGCGCCUUCAGGUUUCCAAGGGCUUCCUCGGCCUCAGGGGUCCAAGUGAAGCACCCGGCCUUCCUUAAGAGGCGGUACAGAGGCAGGCCUCUUUCGCCGAGGCGUGAGAUGAAGCGGCUCAGAGCCGCAAGACAUCCCAUGACUCUCUGUAUGCCCUUUAAGUCCUUGAUGGGCCCCAUGCUGGUGAUGGCUGCGAUCUUCUCCGGGUUGGCUUCGAUGCCCCGCUCGGAGACGAUGAACCCCAAGAGCAUGCCUCGGGGCACCCCGAAGACACACUUUUCGGGAUUGAGCUUCACGCCUUUCGCCUUGAGACAUCGGAAUGUCACUUCAAGGUCGGAAAGGAGGUCGGAGGCUUUCCUCGUCUUGACUACGAUGUCAUCGACGUAGGCCUCGACCGUCCGGCCGAUGUGUUGGCCGAACACAUGGUUCGUGCACCGCUGGUACGUCGCGCCCGCAUUCCUCAAGUCAAACGGCAUGGUGACAUAGCAGUACAUGCUGAAGGGCGUGAUGAAAGAAGUCGCGAGCUGGUCGGACUCCUUCAUCCUGAUUUGGUGAUACCCUGAGUAGGCAUCGAGGAAAGACAGGGUUUCGCACCCAGCAGUGGAAUCCACGAUUUGAUCGAUGCGAGGCAGAGGGUAGGGAACCUUCGGACAUGCUUUGUUUAGACCAGUGUAGUCUACACACAUCCGCCAUUUCCCUCCUUUCUUUCUCACAAGCACAGGGUUGGCAAGCCAUUCGGGAUGGAAUACCUCUUUGAUGAACCCUACCGCCAUUAGCUUGUGGAUCUCCUCGCCUAUGGCUCUGCGCUUUUCUUCAUCAAAUCGGCGCAGAGGUUGCUUGACGGGUCGGGCUCUGGCUCGGAUGUCCAGCGAGUGCUCGGCGACAUCCCUCGGUAUGUCGGGCAUGUCCGAGGGACUCCACGCGAAGAUGUCGGCAUUCACGCGGAGAAAGUCGACGAGCACUGCUUCCUAUUUGAGAUCGAGCUCGGAGCCGAUCCGGAUCUGCUUGGAGGCGUCGCUGCUGGGGUCGAGGGGGACGGACUUAACCGUCUCCGCUGGCUCGAAGUUGUCGGUGUGACGCUUCAUGUCUGGCACCUCCUUAGAGAGGCUCUCCAGGUCGGCGAUGAGGGCCUCGGAUUUGGCGAGGGCCUCGGCGUACUCCACGCACUCCACGUCACAUUCGAACGCGUGUUUGUACGUGGGGCCGACGGUGAUGACCCCGUUGGGGCCCGACAUCUUGAGCUUGAGGUAGGUGUAGUUGGGGACGGCCAUGAACUUCGCGUAGCAUGGCCUCCCCAGUACCGCGUGGUAGGUUCCUCGGAACCCGACCACCUCGAACGUGAGGGUCUCCCUUCGGAAGUUGGAGGGCGUUCCGAAGCAGACGGGAAGGUCGAGUUGUCCGAGGGGCUGGACGCGCUUCCCGGGGAUGAUCCCGUGGAAAGGCGCAGCGCCUGCCCGGACCGAGGACAGAUCAACACGCAGGAGCCCGAGGGUCUCGGCGUAGAUGAUGUUGAGGCUGCUGCCUCCGUCCAUGAGGACCUUGGUGAGCCUGACGUCGCCGAUGACGGGGUCGACGACGAGCGGGUAUUUCCCCGGGCUCGACACGUGGUCGGGGUGGUCGGCUUGGUCGAAGGUGAUGGGCUUGUCGGACCAGUCUAGGUAGACUGGCGCCGCCACCUUCACCGAACAGACAUCCCGACGCUCUUGCUUGCGGUGCCGAGCCGAGGCGUUCGCCGCUUGCCCACCGUAGAUCAUAAAGCAGUCGCGGACCUCGGGGAACUCUCCUGCUUGGUGAUCUUCCUUCUUGUCGUCGUCGCGAGCCCUGCCACCCUCCGUGGGUGGCCCAGCCCUGUGGAAGUGGCGCCGAAGCAUGGCGCACUCCUCAAGGGUGUGCUUGAUGGGCCCCUGAUGGUAGGGGCACGGCUCCUUGAGCAUCUUGUCGAAGAGGUUGGCACCUCCGGGGGGUUUCCGAGGGUUCUUGUACUCGGCGGCGGCGACAAGGUCCGCGUCGGUGGCGUCGCGUUUCGCUUGCGACUUCUUCUUGCCCUUCUUCUUGGCGCCGCACUGAGUUGACGCCUCGGGGGCAUCUUCCGGUGGGUGGCCCUGGGGCUGCUUGUCCUUCCGGAAGAUAGCCUCAACCGCCUCCUGGCCAGAGGCAAACUUGGUGGCGAUGUCCAUCAGCUCGCUCGCCCUGGUGGGGGUCUUGCGACCCAGCUUGCUCACCAGGUCGCGGCAGGUGGUGCCGGCGAGGAACGCGCCGAUGACAUCCGAAUCGGUGAUGUUGGGCAGCUCGGUGCGCUGCUUCGAGAAUCGCCGGAUGUAGUCCCGGAGAGACUCUCCCGGCUGCUGCCUCCAGUUUCGGAGGUCCCAGGAGUUUCCAGGGCGUACGUACGUGCCCUGGAAAUUUCCGGCGAAGGCUUGGACCAGGUCGUCCCAGUUGGAGAUCUGCCCCGGAGGCAGGUGCUCCAACCAGGCGCGAGCGGUGUCGGAGAGGAACAGGGGGAGGUUGCGGAUGAUGAGGUUGUCAUCGUCCGUCCCACCCAGUUGGCAGGCCAGCCGGUAGUCCGCGAGCCACAGUUCCGGUCUCGUCUCCCCCGAGUACUUUGUGAUAGUAGUCGGGGGUCGGAACCGGGUCGGGAACGGCGCCCGUCGUAUGGCGCGGCUGAAAGCCUGCAGACCGGGUGGUUCGGGCGAGGGACUCCGAUCCUCCCCGCUGUCGUAGCGUCCUCCACGCCUGGGGUGGUAGCCUCGGCGCACCCUCUCGUCGAGGUGGGCCCGACGGUCGCGGUGAUGGUGCUCGUUGCCGAGGCGUCCCGAGGCCGCAGGCGCCGUGUUGCGCGUGCGCCCGGUGUGGACCGAGGCUUCCCACAUGAAUCGGGAAGUCGCGGCGUGAUGUUUCGAGGGGUACCCCUGCCUUCGGGAGGCGGAGCUUUCGGCCCGUCGGACCGCGGCGCCCUCCAGGAGAUUCUUGAGCUCUCCCUGGAUUCGCCGCCCCUCGGUGGUUGAUGGCUCCGACAUUGCGCGGAGAAGCAUUGCCGCUGCAGCCAGGUUCUGGCCGACCCCACUGGAAGCGGGUGGUGGCCUUACCCUGACAUCGUCGGCGAUGCGGUGCUGGAUACCCUGGGGCAGAUGACGCAUUUCUCCGGCCGGAGGCUGGCCCGCCCAUUCCUGCCCGACGUCCCGGUGGAUCAGCUCAAGUGCUCCUGCUCCCUCGUCGAGCCUGGCCUGCACCCCGCGGAUUUGCUCAAGCUGUGGGUCAUGACCCCCCGCCUGAACGGGGACCACAGCUAGCUCCCGUAGGAUGUCAACGCGAGGCACAGGCCUAGGGAGAUCACCGUUCUCCGGCAUACCGAGAUGGUUGCCUUCGGAGGGACCCCCUAGAUCGACGUGGAAACAUUCACGACUUGGGCCGCAGUCCUCGUCGCCGAGGCUGCGGCUACCAUCGAAAUAGUCGGAAAGGCAGUAGUCGCAUGCGGUCAUGAAGUCCCGCAUGGCACUGGGGUUACCAAGUCCGGAGAAAUCCCAACAGAAGUCGGGCUCGUCAUCUUCCUCGGACCCCGAGGGCCCGUAGGUCGAGACGUCCGUCAGCCGGUCCCAGGGUGACCGCAUACGAUACCCCAGAGGCUUUGGACUCGCCUCUACGAGAGCGUCCGCUAAAGUGAGGCCGCUUGGUGGGUCGAGGCUGAAUCCAAGGGGCGUGAGAUGGGAAUCGGUCGGUACCUCUUGGUCGACGGGCGGUGAUGAAGUCACGUCAGGGAAUGACUGCACCGUCGUCUUAGGUACGAGGGUGACGCCCAGCAAGCCUUUCGCGAGCGUGCUGGCGUCGUCCGUUUGCUUGGGAUUGGCGCGUUGCGGGGAGAUGGCGCUCGUCUUCGUCUCAGACGCGAGGUCGAUGCCCGACGCGCCCCCCGUUGGGACGCCGGCGCCGUCGACUCGCUCGACAGCCGACGAGGCGCUGCCUCCUGCUUGGCCUUGGUUGCCCCGCCUCCUCCUCCGUCGGUGGGGGAGAGGACGAGGUGAGCUCGAAUGUUGUUCUUCCACCACGCGGGGAAGACGUCGUUGAUUCCGCCGCCGGCGGGCGGGCUGUCGGCCGCCAUUGUCGUUGUCGCACGGCGGGGGAAGGAGUAUCAUGUCGUAGCUGCCAUCGAGGGACAUGAACUCAAGACUCCCGAAACGGAGCACCGUCCCGGGCUGGAAAGGUUGCUGAAGACUGCCCAUCUGGAGCUUGACGGGAAGCUGUUCAUCAACACGCAACAGGCCCCUACCUGGCGCGCCAACUGUCGGCGUUUCGAGACCGGGGGGGUCCCUGGGCCGACGAGUGAAAUGUCGUCGCGUGCCCCGGCCCAGAUGGGUCGGCGCGAGGCCGAGCGCGAAGGGGGGGAAAAGGCGGCCGGAGGCGGGCGUGAGAGAGGUGGAAAUCCCGCGGCCUUCGUGUUCGUCCCGCGCCCAGGUCGGGUGCGCUUGCAGUAGGGGGUUACAAGCGUCAACGCGGGAGAGGGAGCGAGCAGCCUCACGCGAGCGCCUGCCUUGUCCUCGUCCCCGCGCGGCCAACCCUCUGUAAGAGGGCCCUGGUCCUUCCUUUUAUAGGCGUAAGGAGAGGAUCCAGGUGAACAAUGGGGGUGUAGCAAAGUGCUAUCGUGUCUAGCGGAGGAGAGCUAGCGCCCUAAGUACAUGCCAUCUUGGUAGCCGGAGAGGUUUUGGCACCCGGUUCGUGUGGUGUCGUGGCCGUCGGAGGAGCGCUGGAGCCUGGCGGAAGGACAGCUGUUGGGGCUGUCGAGUCCUUGCUGACGUCCUCUUGCUUCCGUAAGGGGGCUAAGUGCUGCCAUCGUCAUAGAGCGUGCGGGGCGCCAUCAUUACUUUGUCUGGCGGAGUGAGCCAGAUGGGACGCCGGUCUUGUUUCCCGUAGCCUGAGUCAGCUCGGGGUAGGGUAAUGAUGGCGCCUCCUGUUGACGUGGCCGGUCCACGCCCUAGGUUGGGCAAUGUGGAGGCUCCUCCGAGGUCGAGGUUGAGUCUGUCUUCUGUGGCCGAGGUCGAGUCCGAGCCCCUGGGUCGGGCGAGGCGGAGACCGUCGGCUGAGGCCAGGGCGGAGUCCGAGCCCUGGGGUCGGGCGAAGCAGAGUUCGUCGUCUUCAGGAGCUGAGCCCGAGUCCGAGCCCUGGGUCGGGCGGAGCGGAGUUCGCCGUCUUCAGGGGCUGAGCCCGAGUCCGAGCCCUGGGUCGGGCGGAGCGGAGUUCACCGUCUUCAGGGGCUGAGCCCGAGUCCGAGCCCUGGGUCGGGCGGAGCGGAGUUCGCCGUUUUCCGGGGCUUAGCCCGAGUCCGAGCCCUGGGUCGGGCGGAGCGGAGUUCGCCGUCUUCCGGAGCUUAGCCCGAGUCCGAGCCCUGGGUCGGGCGAAGCGGAGUUUCCUAUGGUGCCUGAGGCCGGGCCUAGCUGCCUGUCAGCCGCGCUCUGUCGAGUGGCACAGCAGUCGAAGCGGCGCAGGCGGCGUUGUCCUUCUGUCAGGCCGGUCAGUGGAGCGGCGAAGUGACUGCGGUCACUUUGGCUCUGCUGACUGAAGGGCGCGCGUCAGGAUAAAGGUGUCAGGCCACCUUCGCAUUAAAUGCUCCGGCGAUUUGGUCGGUUGGCGCGGCGAUUUGGUCAGGGUUGCUUCUUGGCGAAGAUAGGGCCUCGGGCGAGCCGGAAGUAUGUUCGUCGCUGGAGGGGGGCCUCGGGCGAGACGGAGAUCCUCCGAGGUCGGCUGCCCUUGCCCGAGGCUAGGCUCGGGCGAGGCGUGAUCGAGUCCCUCGAAUGGACCGAUCCCUGACUUAAUCGCACCCAUCAGGCCUUUGCAGCUUUGUGCUGAUGGGGGUUACCAGCUGAGAAUUAGGAGUCUUGAGGGUACCCCUAAUUAUGGUCCUCGACAGCUCUAUAAAAGCAAUAUCCCCCCAAAGAUGUAAAUGUAAAAGCUGAGAACGCACCAUCGAGUGCAAAGAAAAAAGAAAAGAAAACAAGGAGAAGCUCAAAAGUCGUUCCUAAGGGAAUGCAGAGCUUACAGCGAAAAGUCAACGCUGAUUCCGCCGAAGUAAAAGGCGAAGAAGCUCCUAAGGGAGGCUUACAGCGAAAAGUCAACGCUGAUUCCGCUGAAGUAAAAGGCAAAGAAGCUCCUAAGGGAGGCUUACAGCGAAAAGUCAGCGCUGAUACACCGAAAAAUAAACGGUGAAGCCGAAAAAUAAGCGGCAAAGAAGAUUUGAGUCAUUCCCAAGGGAAUGAAGGGUUGGAUUAUGGCUUCGAAUAUGUAUUUGGACAUUCAUUUGCACGAUACAUUACAUCAUGACAUUUGCAUUCAUAAACAUUCACUUAGACAUACAUAAGAUCAUCAUCAGUAUAACAUACAAACUUGCUUCGGUUCCGAAAGGAAGGUAAUUUUAUGCUUCGUUGUGUAUGCAAAGAAGGGAAGGUGUUUUUUCUCUUAUGGCUCAAAAGUAUUAAUUUCGUCCACACCAAAGCAUUUCAUACAUGGACGGAAAAGUAAGAUUAUAUUACAAAGUGAAACUCAAGUUACAUCAUACUUUAUACAAGUUUUUACAGAAGUUUUUUGAGCUAUUUUUACAGAUUAUUCAAGCUUCGACAACAUCUCUGGAGCUUCGUCCUUUUACUCUGCAGCUUCAACUUCGGCUUGGUCAAUCUGUACAGAAGUAUUGUAAGCUAAAUUCAUAAUUCAAAGGAAAAGGUAAGCAUAAUGUAUGAUUUUGUUACCAGCUUGAGGUGGCUCCGAGCUUCGUCACCAGCUUUGCUCCGACCACCCUUUGUCCAUACUAACUUUAUAAAUCUAUUUACAAUACUCCGAGCCAGAUUGGGAACAUUAUCUAGGUCUGCUGGUGACAGGCUGAAGUUGGGUCUAUUAACAAUCUUUUCGUGUUCACAGCCAGACUUCAAAAAGGCAACAGCUGUGCCCCGAGAAGCUGCCAGGGCACAAAAGUCGCUAUGCCCAGCUAUAACUUCGUCAAGAUCAUUAAUUUCACCCUCAAUGUGCUCAAAGGCACUAGGCAGGUCUUCAGCUGAAGGAGUAAACUCUUCACUACUGGCUCCAACAAAAUGGAACACUUGCUUUAACUGAUGAAUGCAUCGACUGCUGAACUCCAUGCACUUAUUCUGAAGAUUUUUCAAAGAUUCUUUCAAUUCCGAAUUUCUUUGAGCUUCGGCUUCGAGUUUUGCAUCAAGCUUCAGCUUUUCUUGUUCGAAAUUUUCUGAUUGGAAAAGAAGCUUCGAAUUUAAUUCUGUUAUUUUUGCUUCAGCGUCCACUAAUAAGCCUUCAGCUGUUUGUAGCUCGAAGUCUUUCUUCUCGAUGGCAGCAGAUUGCUCUUUUAUCUUGUUUUCUAAGUUUUCAAUUAUAACUUCGUGCCUUUUAUCCUCUAAGUCUUGCUGCAUUUUUAAUGUCUUGCUCAAAAGUAUACUCUGCGGACAAAUAACCUUCGUUAGAAAAUAUUUCUGUGGCCGCAAAUAAUAGCAGUUAAACAACAGUUAAACACAAGAUAUUUACCUUAAAAUUAGAAUAGAACAAGCUGUUGACAAUGGGUUGUCGUCGGUAGCGGCUUAUAUCCGCUUCGAGCUUCGGGAAGCCGAUACUCUUUGAUAGAGUACCGACAACCUUCGCACCGGUUUGAUCUCGUAUGCAGCCUAACCCUUCAUCAUCAAUACCACCGAAGAGAAGCGCCCUCGGCCGGUACCCGCAAGAUAUAGCAUACUCUUUUAAUUCUUCUUUUUCAGCUUCUGGCCAACUAAGUUUCGGAAGUCAAAAGUUUCAUCUUCUGAAGUGUCUUCGGUUAUUCCUUCUUUCUCGGGUUUUGCGGCCGUGGUCUCUUCGGUGGCUGCAGCAGUUUCUUCAGCGGCCAUGUUUAGCAGCAUUUUAUCUAUAUCAGCAGCUAUGCUCUCUAAAUUAAUAUCUUCGGAGUUGGCAUCUUCGGCUCUGGUUUCUUCUGCGGCAACCUCUGAAGGUGCAGCUUCGGUAGCUGUUGUGCCUUCAAUCGCCAGCACCUUCGGAGCUGGAGCUCUUGGUGGUGUUGUUUCAAUCACUUCUGUCACGGUAACAAUCCUUUGUCUUUUUGGCCUAGAUGCCUUUGUUUUUGUGGGCUCCUUUUCAUUAUGAAAAAGCUUCGUCAGAUGAAGCCCCAAUGGACUUAGUUUGACAGGCAAAGUUUCAGUCAUUACCUUUAGAAUUUCCUCUAUUUCAGCAUCAGAAGAUGUUGCAGAAGUCUUCUCUUCUUCAUCAAUUGAUUUUUGCUCUGGGAUCGAGUCCUUUCUUUUCUUCGAAGCUAAUACUUUCGCUUCAAACUUUUGUUUCUUCUUCUUUGAUUGAUCUUCGUCGUCUUUGUUCAAAGCGCCAGCCACUCUUUUUCUUUUCUGCCCUUCGGCACCCUUGUUGAGUCGUUCAUAAUCAGGAUAUUCAAAGCCUAUAGCAUCCAGCACUCUGUUUAGCCUUCGUUUCGGACGGGUGCCGAAGGCUGCUGUCAUCAAUUGAUCUUCUUUUUUAGAAUAAUUCCCAAGAAUUUCGGUGCACAUUACUUCGAUUGUUUCCAGCCAUUCUUGGCAGGGCGCUUUGAAAUAUUUCUUGAAUUUGUAGUGGUAGGGCAGUCGGACAAGUUCCCCCUCUUUCUUCUCUCCUUCAAGCUUCGGCAUAGCCCAUUCCUUCAUAGUUGGAAAUAUUUUGAAAGCAAAAAAUUCCUGCACUAAGUCCCUAGUGCCAAUGUGCUCUGCGAUAAUCCUGAAUUCAGCCAGCGCAGUUUGGGUUGGACCUUCUGGUGUCAUAUUGCAUUGGGGUCUGGUCUCUCCGAAGAUCAAUUCUAGCGGACUCUGCACCAGUUUCUCCUUGUCAUCGUCAAAUUUGACGUAGAACCAUUCUGAUUUCUAGCCUGCCGGCCACUUGCUUCGGUAGCUGAUCACAGGAAAUUUUGUAGUCUUCCGGUAAGCAAAUUUGUAACAACCAAAAUUUUCAUGUAAUCCAUCCUUUCUGGCCUUGGUUUGGUAAUGUAGCUCGUGCACCCGGCAGAAACCUUCGGCAAACGGUUCCACCCCCUGGCUUCGGAGAGCCCAAAUAUAAACACUAAGCCUAACGAUAGCGUUAGGAGUUAGUUGAUGAAAGUGGAUCCCAAACUUAUUUAGCACAUCGGCAAUCAUCUUAUUUAAAGGGAAUCUUAAACCAGCUUUGAGAAAACUCUUGAAAACUACUAUUUCAUCUUUUUCUGGCUUCGGAGUAGUUUCCUCUCCACCGAAGCGAAUCAGCUCUUUCUUAUCUUCGCUGAAAUAGCCCAGCUUCACCAUCUUAGGAAAAUCAGCUUCAGAGAUGGUGGACUUUCCGAAGUCCAGGUGGCUAGGCUUGCUCGGCACUGCGCUGCUGUAAUCAUCUUCAGAAUCGGUCUCUUCAAUACCAGCUUGCUCUGCUUCAGUAGUAGGGACGUCUUCCGGUGUUACCAACCCAGAUCGCUUCAUUGCCUCCGAAAUAGGAACAGUCUCAGCAGCUUCGGUCUAAUCUCCAUCACGAUCGACCCUUGCAGUAGAGCGAACUCUGGCCAUUUGAUUAUGACUUGAAAAUUUUGGUGUUGGCUUUUUUGUCUUUUCCGAAGCUCUUACUCUUGUGCCGAAGCAGAUUCACAAGCGAGGUUUCGUCUGAGCACGAUGAUCAAGCUUCGGCUAUGACUAAAAAUUUGGCAGCAAAACAGUACAAUAGCAAUGAAUGUUGUGGUAACUUCACACCUACCCGUCUGUUUAUAUAGUGCUGCAGGUGGGAAGGUAAAUCGACAGGGUCUCCAGCACCGAGCAAACAGUCACCCGCACUCACUGAACGGUGGGCCACAUAGUUCGAGAAGGUGAAUCGUCGGCGAGCGCGUAAUUGGUGCAAGAUGGGUCGCGCGCGCGGCGAUUAUUUUAAUCGUUUCUCACCAACGAACUCAGGGAAGGUGUUUUUUUGGAUCUUCGGCAUCCCGAAGCCUAGAAGAUUUUUCACGGAUCAAGCUCGUUACGAAAAACGAUCUAGCAUCGUGAAGGGGCUACUGUUGGGGGUAUGCUUCGUAGCCGAAGAUCCUAAAGAAAGAAACACCUUCGACAGAUCCUCUCCAAAGCAGUGCCGAAGCUAUCGCCUAUAAAGCUUCGGCACAGUGACAUGUCUCAAGACGAAGGGGUGAACCGACUUAAAGAUGAAACGACUUAAAGACCCAUGAUAUUCUGUGUCAUUAUUGUAGUAGCUUGUAAAGGGCAUAAAUGUAAUUAUACACAGGCUGCGCCCUGUGCCUAUAAAUAGGUGAACAGUACCCCUGUACUGUUCACGAAAUCCUGUAAUCACUGACACGUCGCGCUUGGAUUAUUGCUUUCCGCCAAGGCGAAGGUAUAAAUGUGCCUAAAUAUUAUGUUAUAAUGUUUGUAUAUUCAUAUAAUAAAAUAUGUGAAUAAGGUUACUUAUUCUUAGUAUAUCUCUCUAUAAUGUUUCAUUUUUAUAUUUUAUUUCGUAUUGUUUUACAAGUCUGACCACGAAGGUGUGACCUUCGUGGUAUUUUGCUCAUGGCCUUCGUCCGAAGUUCAUUAAAUCCUCGGGGAGAUAAUGCUUCAGCGGACGAAGGACAUUAAUAUUUAACAUUUUAUGCUGCCUUGUUCUAAUUCAUAGCACUUGAGAACAAGUCCCCAACAUUUAAUAUUACAAAUAUGAUUUCAAAACAUAAAUAUCCAUGCCAAAUAUAGACCGAAUUCAUCAUAUUUAAAAUCAUAUGCACACCUCACAAUAAUCAUAUCCAUGGACCAUCAGUCAGUCUAAACCAUGUCUAAUCAUAUCGACCACUUAAUCGUGUCAUAUGCUCGUGCCACCCCACCGUACGUGUUAGGGUGGCGUCCAAGACGUGGUACUGACUUCGAUCAUGUCGUGCGACACGCCACACAUGCACUAUUUAUUAUAUAGUGCACAUGCCUUACCGAAGCACUACGGAUCAGGUCAAGUCCGACCUAUUUAGCACAAUCCACUUGGCCAUCUAUAGUUGGAGUUAGAAAAAGUUGCCUGACCCACAAGUAGGAAUCACAUGGAUCUAUUUUUGGUGCCCUGAAGUCUACAUAGUGUGGCCUCGCCCAAGGAAGCUUGCCAUGCCACCAACCAAACAAACCCGUCCAUCGCAUGAACACAAUUAUUACUAGUGAUCCACAAUCACAGAUGUCAGAGGUUCCAUGGAUACAUUUUGCAUACUCAUUUCCUAACACAAUGGUCAUUUGGAUGUUGCGCCACUUUGCUUUAACAUGCAUGCAUAAUGAACCUAUAUUUUUUACUUUCUGUUUUUCACCUUAUUAAUUGUUGUAAAUUAGUAUGCACGUGUUAAGCUCAAACCAUAUAGUGUGUAUUUUAUAUCGUCUUUAUUGAUUUUUUUCUAUGUUUUUAUUAAAAUAUAGUUAGGCCCUAGACUUUAUUUACUCCUAAUCAAUAUAUAUAUAUAUAUAUAUAUAUGUGUGUGAUGACGACGAUAAUGAUGACGAUAAAUACUAGCUAAAUGUCACUGUGUGGUUCACAUGACCAUCUCCAUCUAUAAACAUAUGUACUCCAAUUAAUAUGACAAGUUUUUCUGUCUAAUGUGAGUAAGUUGGUGCCGGCCGGCCAUAGCAAUUAUUAGGAACGUCGGGGGCCCUCGCAUAUUGGAUGCAUGCUUGGCUAGCGCGCUUGAAAACAAAACUGCGUGCGGCCAUGAUGUUCUUCAGACACCUAACAUCGCGUGUCCGUGUGUGUGUGUUUUUGUAUGCCGAUCGAGCUAGCUAGUGCGUGGCUACCAGCUGCAGCACUGUAUUCCCCUCUAGCACUAGCAGCUAGUGUCUGCGUGGACGAAAAUACAAGUUCGGCAUCCGGUUUUGGAUGUUUUCCUUUGUGUUAGUUCGGUUCGCCUAGUAGCAUGCACUAGUGAUGAGUGAUGACCGACCGACCGACAUGCAGUGCAGGAAGAAAGAAGGCAUCAGCAAGCAAGGCCCUAUAAAUAAUGCAUGCAUGGACUAUUCGCUUUGCACACAACAGGCACUUGUGACGAGCAGCAAGGAAGCGGCAGGUAUAUCUAUCUAUAUAGUAGAGUAGGCUAGCAGGUACCGCGCAGCUAGCCAUGGCUGCCUCUGCUUCUUGCCUGCUUAGCCUCUUGGUGGUGGUGGUGCUGGCGGCGCUGGCCUCGGCGCAGCUUUCGUCGACGUUCUACGACACGUCGUGCCCCAGCGCGCUGUCCACCAUCAGCAGCGGCGUGACCGCGGCGGUGGCGCAGGAGGCUCGCGUGGGGGCGUCGCUGCUCAGGCUGCACUUCCACGACUGCUUUGUGCAGGCAAGUAGCAGCUAAAUUAACUAAGUAGAUCGGAAUUAAUUUCUGACAUCUAUCAUAUCCAGCAGGGCUGCGACGCGUCCGUUCUGCUGAACGACACGUCCGGGGAGCAGAACCAGAUUCCGAACCAGACUCUGAAUCCUAGGGGCUUCGAUGUCUUUGACAGCAUCAAGGCGCAGGUGGAGGCGGUGUGCCCGGGGAUCGUCUCCUGCGCCGACAUCCUCGCCGUAGCCGCCAGGGACGGAGUGGUCGCGGUGAGAUAUACUAUCAUUAAUUAAUUAGAUAUAUGCUGUCAUGAUCAGCAUGCUGUAGUGUAGCUAGCGUUAGUUAAUUAGCCAGCAGCUAGCUGAUGAUGCUUUGCUGUGUUGGUUGGUUUAAUUUCCAGCUCGGCGGGCCUUCGUGGACAGUUGCACUGGGGAGAAGGGACUCCACUGCUUCGUUCCCGGCACAGACGAGCGACCUCCCGCCUCCUACGUCCAGCCUCCAGCAGCUUCUGCGCGCGUAUAGCAAAAAGAAUCUCAACCAAACCGACAUGGUUGCUCUCUCAGGUGCCUCCGAUCGAUCAUAGCUAGCAGCUAUAGCUUAUUAGCUACUGAUCGACGAUGACGAUGACGAUAUAUAUGCAUGCAUAUGAAGGUGCUCACACGAUCGGACAGGCGCAGUGCUUGAGCUUCAACGACCACAUCUACAACGACACCAACAUCAACCCCGCCUUCGCCAUGUCGCUGAGGACCAACUGCCCCGCGUCCGGCAGCAGCAGCCUGGCGCCUCUGGACGCCAUGACGCCCACCGCUUUCGACAACGCCUACUACACCAACCUGCUGUCCCAGAGGGGCCUCCUGCACUCGGACCAGGAGCUCUUCAACAACGGCAGCGCCGACAGCACGGUCAGCAGCUUCGCGGCCAACGCCGC
Molecule: long non-coding RNA, 36189 nt
Filed under: Zea mays
Lineage: Eukaryota; Viridiplantae; Streptophyta; Magnoliopsida; Poales; Poaceae
Description: long non-coding RNA (ZMAY_LNC001308)
Source: RNAcentral